This 324-nucleotide signal recognition particle RNA is filed under the name Desulfurococcales archaeon. RNAcentral's name for it is "signal recognition particle sRNA". It matches the Rfam family "Archaeal signal recognition particle RNA". The record is from RNAcentral. Lineage: Archaea; Thermoproteati; Thermoproteota; Thermoprotei; Desulfurococcales.
GGUGCGGGGAGGGCCGGGGGUCUCGCCGUCCCCCCGCCCCGUAUAGGGGCGCCUGAAGGCGUCACGCAGGGGCCAGUAACCCCUGGCAGGCGUUUAUGGGGCCUAGCUGGCCCACAGGGGGUGCCAGGCCAUGAGCCCUGCCCUGCGGGGCGGGCGGAGUGGGUGGCCCCGCUGGAGAGCGGGAGCCAACCCGCUUAGCCGGGGAAACCUGGCCAGGCCCGGAAGGGAGCAACCUAUCCCCGGACGCUCCGCGUUCGCAGGGGCACAGGGGGAGCCUGCCUGUGGGCCAGCUAGGCUACCAGCGCUUGUCAGGGGGUCCGCACC